AUUUGCAGAGAUCAUUGCGGUCUGAAUCAACUGUGUUUGGGCAUCCACAAACAGAUUAUGUUAUGAAUAUGGAUAUGAUUCUGGGGAAACAAGUUUCUGGUUAUGUUCAUGGAAUCAGCUCUGACUUACACAGAUCAUCACGACCUAAAUCAACUGAGUUUAGUUAUCCACCAACAGGACAUGUUAGAAAUAUGGAUAUGAUUGGGGGGGAGAUUUUUUUCUGAAUAUGUUCAUGGAAUUAGUUCUGACUUGCAGAGACGCUCAUGGCCUGAAUCCAGUAAUGUUGUGCAUCUUGGAACUGAUACCCUUAGGCCCUACUAUGCCGGUUGGUCCUAGAGUUGGAAAUGAAGCCUCUCAAUUUGUGGUUCUGGUUGCUAAACCUUUGUUUUGUGGCUUUGUUGGUUAUCUUUUAGGUUCUUUUGUUGGCCUGCAGCUACUAGCUGCACUGUGAAGCUGUGCAAUUUGAUGUUAACUUGGA
This is a long non-coding RNA of Neltuma alba, 478 nucleotides long. RefSeq lists it as uncharacterized. The record is from RefSeq and is a predicted model, not a curated record. Lineage: Eukaryota; Viridiplantae; Streptophyta; Magnoliopsida; Fabales; Fabaceae. The transcript has 2 exons.